RNAcentral lists this ribosomal RNA (253 nucleotides) under uncultured bacterium. Its description in RNAcentral is "partial 16S ribosomal RNA". It matches the Rfam family "Bacterial small subunit ribosomal RNA", at positions 524 to 776 of the family's 1533-position model. The record is from RNAcentral.
GACAGAGGGUGCAAACGUUGUUCGGAAUUACUGGGCGUAAAGCGUGUGUAGGCGGCUAAGUAAGUCGGAUGUGAAAGCCCUGGGCUCAACCCAGGAAGUGCACUCGAUACUACCUAGCUUGAGUAUCGGAGAGGUUGGUGGAAUUCUCGGUGUAGAGGUGAAAUUCGUAGAUAUCGAGAGGAACACCGGUGGCGAAGGCGGCCAACUGGACGAAUACUGACGCUGAGACACGAAAGCGUGGGGAUCAAACAGG